UCAGAGGGGGGUAGAAUNCCACGUGUAGCAGUGAAAUGCGUAGAGAUGUGGAGGAAUACCGAUGGCGAAGGCAGCCCCCUGGGAUAACACUGACGUUCAUGCUCGAAAGCGUGGGUAGCAAACAGGAUUAGAUACCCUGGUAGUNCACGCCCUAAACGAUGUCAAUUAGCUGUUGGGCAACUUGAUUGCUUAGUAGCGUAGCUAACGCGUGAAAUUGACCGCCUGGGGAGUACGGUCGCAAGAUUAAAACUCAAAGGAAUUGACGGGGACCCGCACAAGCGGUGGAUGAUGUGGAUUAAUUCGAUGCAACGCGAAGAACCUUACCUGGUCUUGACAUGUACGGAAUCUCUCAGAGACGGGAGAGUGCCUUCGGGAGCCGUAACACAGGUGCUGCAUGGCUGUCGUCAGCUCGUGUCGUGAGAUGUUGGGUUAAGUCCCGCAACGAGCGCAACCCUUGUCAUUAGUUGCCAUCAUUGAGUUGGGCACUCUAAUGAGACUGCCGGUGACAAACCGGAGGAAGGAGGGGAUGACGUCAAGUCCUCAUGGCCCUUAUGACCAGGGCUUCACACGUCAUACAAUGGUCGGUACAGAGGGUUGCCAAGCCGCGAGGUGGAGCCAAUCUCACAAAACCGAUCGUAGUCCGGAUUGCACUCUGCAACUCGAGUGCAUGAAGUCGGAAUCGCUAGUAAUCGCAGGUCAGCAUACUGCGGUGAAUACGUUCCCGGGUCUUGUACACACCGCCCGUCACACCAUGGGAGUGGGGGAUACC
RNAcentral lists this ribosomal RNA (769 nucleotides) under uncultured bacterium. RNAcentral describes it as "bacterial SSU rRNA". It matches the Rfam family "Bacterial small subunit ribosomal RNA", at positions 651 to 1421 of the family's 1533-position model. The record is from RNAcentral.